UUAUCGGAGAGUUUGAUCCUGGCUCAGGACGAACGCUGGCGGCGUGCCUAAUACAUGCAAGUCGAGCGGACAGAUGGGAGCUUGCUCCCUGAUGUUAGCGGCGGACGGGUGAGUAACACGUGGGUAACCUGCCUGUAAGACUGGGAUAACUCCGGGAAACCGGGGCUAAUACCGGAUGUUUGUUUGAACCGCAUGGUUCAGACAUAAAAGGUGGCUUCGGCUACCACUUACAGAUGGACCCGCGGCGCAUUAGCUAGUUGGUGAGGUAACG
Molecule: ribosomal RNA, 271 nt
Filed under: Bacillus velezensis
Lineage: Bacteria; Bacillati; Bacillota; Bacilli; Caryophanales; Bacillaceae
Description: partial 16S ribosomal RNA
Rfam family: Bacterial small subunit ribosomal RNA
Source: RNAcentral